This 1465-nucleotide ribosomal RNA is filed under the name Coriolopsis trogii. RNAcentral's name for it is "partial small subunit ribosomal RNA". It matches the Rfam family "Bacterial small subunit ribosomal RNA". Lineage: Eukaryota; Fungi; Basidiomycota; Agaricomycetes; Polyporales; Polyporaceae. The record is from RNAcentral.
UUAAUUUUGGUUCGGAUUGAACGUUUUUCAGUAGUUUAAGACAUGCGAAUCGUUGUUUCUUAAGAAACAAGGUGUAGAGGUGAGUAUGUUAAAUAAGAUACCCCGUAGUCUUCAGAAAUAGGAGAUAUAAAUAAAGGAAGUUUUCUGCUACGGGAUUCUAUUUAAUUUGAUUAGGUAGUUGAUAGGGUAACGGCCUACCAAGCCAACAAUCGAAAGUCAAGUUUGAAAGAACCUCUGGCCACAUUGGGAAUGAGAUCUCCCAAGUAGUAAUUACACUACCAGCAGUCAAGAAUAUUAGUCAAUGCUCGCAAGAGUGAACUAGCUAACUGAAAUCAUAGAAUUUCUUCAAAUUCAUGAUGUCGUAAGGGAAAAUAAUGAUAAUACCUUACUAUGAGUGUCGUCCAAAUCUGGUGCCAGAAGACUCGGUAAGACCAGAGACGCAAACGUUAAUCAUCAUAAACAGGCGUAAAGGGUUUGUAGGCAGCUCUCACAAAGACAUAUACAAAAUAAAGUGUUUUAAUUGAGAGCUAGAAUCAAAAAGAGGUUAUAGUGUAUAACGCCUAGAGGAGGGCUGAUAUCCAUAGAUCCUAGGCAGAAUACUCAGGGCGAAGGCCACUCUCCACUACUGAUUGACGCUGAGAAACGAAAGUUAGGGUAGGAAAUAUGAUUAGAUACCCAGGUACUCCUUUCUGUAAACGAUGAAUGGUAGUCAUUAGUAAUAAAACUAGAGGCGAAGUUAACACAAUAACCAUUCCGCCUUGUGAGUACUACUGCAAAGUAGAAAACAAAAAAAUUAGUCGGUCUCGAAGCAAACGGAGUGAAGCAUGUUAUUUAAUACGAUAAUCCGCGUAGAAUCUUACCAGAACUUGCAUACAAACUAUUUCUUUGUAAAAAGAAGGAAUAGGAGUAUUUAAUUAUAAUAAGUUAAGUACUUAAGUACAGGUGUUGCAUGGCUGUCUUCAGUUCGUGUUGUUAAACAUUAGGUUAAUUCCACUAACGAACGAAAUCCCUGUUAUUAAUUUAUACUUAAUAACUAAUGAAUCUGAUAGAGAUUCAGCGGGGGCUAAGACAAGUCGUUAUGGCCCUCAUGUUCUGGGCUAUAGACGUGCCACUACGACUUUUACAAAGUGAUGCAAUACUUCCCUUUUCUCUAGUAGAAUAUAAGGGAUAUAAGUGGAGCUAAUCAUUAAAAAAAGUCAUAAUAUUAAAUUAAGCCGGAUUGUCUCCUGAAAUUCGGAGGCAUGAAGAAGGAAUUCCGAGUAAUCGUUGAUAAGUAGCGCAACGGUGAAGCAUAUUUCGUGAUGAACUAACUGUCUGUCGCUGGGAAGAAGCCUUCAAUGGAGGAAACUGGAGGUAGAUACUGUUUUUUCUUAAUUUUAAUUAAGAGUUAUUUAUUCUUUAAUAAUUAAGUUAAACUUAUUGGCUUUAGUUAAUCCAUUUGGGUAACAUCUCAAAAGUCAUAGCA